AAAUUGAAGAGUUUGAUCAUGGCUCAGAUUGAACGCUGGCGGCAGGCCUAACACAUGCAAGUCGAACGGUAACAGGAAACAGCUUGCUGUUUCGCUGACGAGUGGCGGACGGGUGAGUAAUGUCUGGGAAACUGCCUGAUGGAGGGGGAUAACUACUGGAAACGGUAGCUAAUACCGCAUAACGUCGCAAGACCAAAGAGGGGGACCUUCGGGCCUCUUGCCAUCGGAUGUGCC
RNAcentral lists this ribosomal RNA (234 nucleotides) under Escherichia coli. RNAcentral's name for it is "partial 16S ribosomal RNA". It matches the Rfam family "Bacterial small subunit ribosomal RNA", at positions 1 to 231 of the family's 1533-position model. Lineage: Bacteria; Pseudomonadati; Pseudomonadota; Gammaproteobacteria; Enterobacterales; Enterobacteriaceae. The record is from RNAcentral. RNAcentral also lists the same sequence under 1 other name.